This 279-nucleotide ribosomal RNA is filed under the name uncultured bacterium. Its description in RNAcentral is "partial 16S ribosomal RNA". It matches the Rfam family "Bacterial small subunit ribosomal RNA", at positions 506 to 784 of the family's 1533-position model. The record is from RNAcentral.
UGCCAGCCGCCGCGGUAAUACGUAUGUCUCGAGCGUUACCCGGAAUCACUGGGUGUAAAGGGUUCGUAGGCGGUUUGAUAAGUUGGAUAUGAAAGACCGGAGCUCAACUCCGUGUUUGUGUUCAAAACUGUUAAACUAGAAUUAGGGAGAGGUAAGCGGAAUUCUAAGUGUAGGGGUGCAAUCCGUAGAUACUUAGAGGAACACCAAAAGCGAAGGCAGCUUACUGGAACUAUAUUGACGCUGAGGAACGAAAGCGUGGGGAGCGAAAAGGAUUAGAUA